Molecule: ribosomal RNA, 474 nt
Filed under: uncultured bacterium
Lineage: Bacteria
Description: bacterial SSU rRNA
Rfam family: Bacterial small subunit ribosomal RNA
Source: RNAcentral
GAAUUCAACUCCUACGGGAGGCAGCAGUGGGGAAUAUUGCACAAUGGGCGAAAGCCUGAUGCAGCGACGCCGCGUGAGGGAUGAAGGCCUUCGGGUUGUAAACCUCUUUCAGUAGGGAACAAGGCAUCACGUUGUGGUGUUGAGGGUACUUGCAGAAGAAGCGCCGGCUAACUACGUGCCAGCAGCCGCGGUAAUACGUAGGGCGCAAGCGUUAUCCGGAAUUAUUGGGCGUAAAGAGCUCGUAGGCGGUUUGUCGCGUCUGUCGUGAAAGUCCGGGGCUCAACUCCGGAUCUGCGGUGGGUACGGGCAGACUAGAGUGAUGUAGGGGAGACUGGAAUUCCUGGUGUAGCGGUGAAAUGCGCAGAUAUCAGGAGGAACACCGAUGGCGAAGGCAGGUCUCUGGGCAUUAACUGACGCUGAGGAGCGAAAGCAUGGGGAGCGAACAGGAUUAGAUACCCUAGUAGUCCAGGCGUU